RNAcentral lists this ribosomal RNA (464 nucleotides) under uncultured Mycobacterium sp. Its description in RNAcentral is "bacterial SSU rRNA". It matches the Rfam family "Bacterial small subunit ribosomal RNA", at positions 107 to 585 of the family's 1533-position model. The record is from RNAcentral. Lineage: Bacteria; Bacillati; Actinomycetota; Actinomycetes; Mycobacteriales; Mycobacteriaceae.
UGAGUAACACGUGGGUGAUCUGCCCUGCACUUUGGGAUAAGCCUGGGAAACUGGGUCUAAUACCGAAUAGGACUCCGCGCUUCAUGGCGUGGGGUGGAAAGCUUUUGCGGUGUGGGAUGGGCCCGCGGCCUAUCAGCUUGUUGGUGGGGUAAUGGCCUACCAAGGCGACGACGGGUAGCCGGCCUGAGAGGGUGUCCGGCCACACUGGGACUGAGAUACGGCCCAGACUCCUACGGGAGGCAGCAGUGGGGAAUAUUGCACAAUGGGCGCAAGCCUGAUGCAGCGACGCCGCGUGAGGGAUGACGGCCUUCGGGUUGUAAACCUCUUUCAGCAGGGACGAAGCGCAAGUGACGGUACCUGUAGAAGAAGGACCGGCCAACUACGUGCCAGCAGCCGCGGUAAUACGUAGGGUCCGAGCGUUGUCCGGAAUUACUGGGCGUAAAGAGCUCGUAGGUGGUUUGUCG